AUGAAGUACAUGUGGCAGAGCGUUGCUAGGGUAUUGCUACUACUGCUAGUCUCCAGUGGAUGGCUGGAAGUGGCCACAGCCCGUCCAGAUCAGUCCUUCCACAGUCUAAACCGCACUUUGACAGAGGAGUAUGGUGCCCAAUGCUACUCCAGCUCACUUUCUGUUCGGAUUUCACGAUAUUGUGACAUACUGGACGAGUCACCGAACAGUGAAUGUUGUGAUGCCAUCUUUGCAACCCUUGGGAGAAAGGAUUGCCUAUGCAAAGUUGUCAGAGAACCGAACUAUCGAUCAUCACCCAUAUCAGGGGGCGACUUUAUUGUUGAUCUUUACCGUUCUUGUGAUGGGGGCCCUUACAUAAGUCCAACGGCGGAAACUGAGUGUGAACAGCCAGGCAGGCAAGCCCCACCCACACGGCCGCCGCCCACACCGCCGUCGCCGCCCAGUGCAAGAACUGCAGAGGGUGACUUGAAAGGCCUUCUGUCCUUUUGGAGGAAGCUUGGAUGGGCAACUUCUUCGCUGCUGCUCCUGGGGCUCCUUAGUUUCAUUCUGUGGAACACCUUGACCCAGCUUGCUCAUGAUACUAGGGUCCGUGCAACAGGAUGGUUCGUAAGCAAUGCAACUAAUGGAGCAGAAACAGCAGGAGAUGCACGCCCCCCUCCCACAUGGAAUGUUAUCACAAACAACAUCUUCGUCUGCAACCUUGGCUUCUCCCAAAAACUCAAGGACCCAGGUGAAGCUAUGGCACCAGCUAAUGUGGAGCUUUCUGCUUCUGUAAGCCCUCAAGGUGGUACGCCCUUUACCAGCGGACAAGCAGAUUCGGUGGAAGAGAACCCAGAGUCAUCUUUGCUGCGAUAG
RNAcentral lists this ribosomal RNA (855 nucleotides) under Triticum aestivum (bread wheat). RNAcentral describes it as "partial small subunit ribosomal RNA". Lineage: Eukaryota; Viridiplantae; Streptophyta; Magnoliopsida; Poales; Poaceae. The record is from RNAcentral.